Molecule: signal recognition particle RNA, 147 nt
Filed under: Homo sapiens (human)
Lineage: Eukaryota; Metazoa; Chordata; Mammalia; Primates; Hominidae
Description: Metazoan signal recognition particle RNA
Rfam family: Metazoan signal recognition particle RNA
About the family: The signal recognition particle (SRP) is a universally conserved ribonucleoprotein. It is involved in the co-translational targeting of proteins to membranes.
Source: Rfam by way of RNAcentral
GCCGGGCAUGGUGGCGCAUGCCUGUAAUCCCAGCUACUCGGGAGGCUGAGACAGGAGAAUCGCUUGAACCAGGGAGUCAGAGGUUGCAGUGAGCCGAGAUGGCGCCACUGUACUCCAGCCUGGCAACAGAGUGAGACUCUGUCUCAA